UGACUUGGCUCUUCAUGAUGAAGAACAGCAAGUUGGUCCAUGUGAGAUAAUAUUUAAUCAUAAGUUCAUAACCAUUAGGCAAACGCGUUAUUUCCACUUCAUAUCAAACAACAUUGGUAGCCCUAGUGUUAUACUACUUUCCCAAGUUUCCAUGCAUUUAUAUCUCAUUAAUUCAUUUACUAUAUUGUACUGGAUGCUGGAUACACUAAUAAUACGUAUCUGCCCAAAAUCCUUUUGUCUAAUUUCCACGUGAUGUAGUUGAGAAGAAGCGCACUACCAAAUGAAAAUAAGAGUACAACUAUGUUCCUACAUCGCGUAACCAAAUGAUGGAACCGCAUGAACUCUGACACUCAAAGUUGAAAUAUAUUAUUAGUUUGCCUUAUAUAAUA
RNAcentral lists this long non-coding RNA (389 nucleotides) under Brassica napus (rape). RNAcentral describes it as "long non-coding RNA (BNAP_LNC018391)". The record is from RNAcentral. Lineage: Eukaryota; Viridiplantae; Streptophyta; Magnoliopsida; Brassicales; Brassicaceae.